GGUGCUACUAACGUUACAUAAAACAAAGUGAGUUCCCUGUACAGGGAGCACCCGGUCAUAUUAUAUAACUCGCUGUGCUCCGACUCCAUUUUUUGUUGUUGUUAUGGAAACGACAGGUCUCGCUACGCCGCUUGUCAUUGGUCCGAUG
Molecule: long non-coding RNA, 148 nt
Organism: Sander lucioperca (pikeperch)
Lineage: Eukaryota; Metazoa; Chordata; Actinopteri; Perciformes; Percidae
Exons: 2
Source: RefSeq, a predicted model, not a curated record